Molecule: non-coding RNA, 352 nt
Organism: Phascolarctos cinereus (koala)
Lineage: Eukaryota; Metazoa; Chordata; Mammalia; Diprotodontia; Phascolarctidae
Source: RefSeq, a predicted model, not a curated record
GUUCCUGCUUUGUCUGCACUGGCUGCUGCCAGUGCUUUCAAGUGCUUUCAAGGGCUUUGGAUUUACAACUGCUCUGAGGUUUUCUUGAGGUUUUCAUCUGCUCUUGAUACUUCCAGAGAUCCCUAUGAGGAAGAAAAGAGCAAAGUGCGAAUUGAGGGACCAAGACAACCUUUCCCAAGCGUAAUGUCAGUGUCGACUAUCACUUUGGCAGAAUCAGUGAAGACAAAAACAGCCUCUUUGCCUGUUUUUUUCAUCUGCUGGUGGCAUUAAAAGUGACCUUGCCUUAUAAAUAUUGACUCUGAAUAAUGGAAAACCAUAAUCACCAAAGACUUAGAAUUGCAGUUCACCCAAG